Homo sapiens (human) is the source of this 3228-nucleotide long non-coding RNA. RefSeq lists it as uncharacterized. The transcript is spliced from 3 exons. NCBI's taxonomy places the organism in Eukaryota, Metazoa, Chordata, Mammalia, Primates, Hominidae. The record is from RefSeq and is a predicted model, not a curated record.
CCUUCAGCUGCAGACACCAGCUGGCUGUCUUCUAAUUCAAUUCAACUCUGAGAUGAUCUACCUGGAGGUUGGCGCAAUACUUUCAGCAUGUGAACACCACAUGGGAAAGAAGCUGGCAUUGAACUUAGGUUUCCAGAGCAUCUAUUAUGGUCUGCACCCUCCUGGGAAACGGGUAUAUGUUAUCUAUGGCAGGCAGUUUUGCAAACAAGGCUCUGAACUUGAAGCUCAGAGGGUGAGCGAGGCCUCGUGCCCCCAGGGCCUCUGCUUGCUCCAUGUUGGUGCCCCAACGUCCAGGGAUGCAAAGCACAGAGGACCCUUAGAGGCCACACCUGGAAGUGCUCAUUCAAUGGACCGAGGGAUGAAAGUGAGGAGAGCGUUAGGGGAGCUGUGCACAGUAAGUAGGGGCUGGAAUGGGAUGUGACCCAGGACAUCCUGGUUAGAUUUGGCCAGGAGAGCUGUGAAAAUAGGGGAAGCUGGUCCCCAAACCCCACACCCUUUUAAAAAAUCAAUCCUGGUGGGCGCAGUGGCAGAAGGACCUGAGUUUGUUACAAAGACCUCAGCAAUCCUCUCCCUCUCCUGACCUGUAAACACCAAGAGCCGGAGACAAUGCAAGUGUCAGACGCUUCUCCACCCGCAAUGAGGCCUGGGAAGCCCAAGUUGAUUGGCUUUCUUUCCAGGAAGGCAGAGCCCAGACGCACUUCAAGGUGGGUAUUUCUGUUUGUUUUCUCCUCAAGGAAAGCACAGCUGAAGGGCUCACGUAUUCCACACCCUCUUUUCAAGGCUCAUUAAUAAGGAGCCCAGGGCAAAAUCAUACAUGUGGCAAACUCCACAACCACCAAGGCCGGCAGAGCAGUGAGAGCUGCAUUAAUGGGGAAUUUCAGUGAAAUGCCGCCCAGCUCCUAAAUUCAUACCAGAUGAGUUCCAGAAGAUUAAAGUUAUUACAAUAAAGCCCCAGGGAAUCAAUCACGCUCUGCCUUGUAACCUUCUUGGUUUUCUGCAUCAUUCACACAAACCACUUUCUGCAGGGCACUGGGGUGUUCCCUAGCUGGGCUGGACCCACAGGCCCCAAUAAAGCACUUCAGGUUAGAAAGCCUAGCAAAAGGACAGGCUUGGUUCAGGUAAGUGGCUGGGGUCUGGCAAGUGGCUUGUUUAGUGACCAGUGACAAUGCGGUGUGGGAGCCCAGUGGGGAAGGGUGGGCUCCCUAACCCCCAGCCUGCCUGAGGCAUGCCCCUGGGGGUGGUCACUGUUGGAACCUUGAUAAAAAAACAGCCUGAAAGUUGGAAAGUGUCUUGGUAAAGAGUAGAACACGGCACAGUUCUCUUUGAUACUGUUUUUAUGUUUUCAUUUUUUAUCCUUUUUUUUUCCCAAAGUGCCUCCCAGCCAUCCAGGUUCAAUCUCAAGUCCUUGUAUGCUCAACCAGGCUCCUGGUGAGCCAGUGAUCCUGCGCCAUUCUCCCCCAGAACCCCUGGUGGCCACCUGCACUGUCCCUGAACUCCUGUCCCCGAGUGUGAACACAGUCCUCAUUCUGCAUUACACCCCUGGGAGCAGGCAUCAGCUCUCUCUGCCUCCACUUCUAUGAGAGUUCCAGAUGAUAGAGGUGCAGAAUAAUUCACUAAAGAGUCUGCAACCUCUAAGGCCCAGACCUGCCCUGUGGUCUCUGCCCCAGCCAUCUGCUAUCUCCCUCCCAAAUCCAAGCUCUACAAAAGUUCCAAGUUUGUCCACGUUUUGGUGUUCAAGCCCCCAAACUCUCUGCCCCAUCCUGAAUGCUCCUUCCUGCUUCGCAAUAUUGAGUAGGACCAUCCAUUCCCUUCAGAGAAGUCCCACACUCAGCUUCAGAAAUGUAGCUUGGUCCAGUGACCAAGCAAGAUAUUCACAAAGCUGACUGACACAGGUGCAUUUCACACUUCUUAUUUCUUUAUUCUUAUUUAUGAUAAUAUUUAACUUAGGAUCAAUGCUCAGCGUUUGUGAGAGCUAUCUGGAGUUUCCUUUUUCUGUGCAACUUUUUUUGGUUUUGAUGUCAGAAUUCUAUUAGCUUUCCAAAGAAGAAUCUACAGACUCUCCCCUCCCCCAACAUUCUUGCUCUUGGUCAGUUUAAACAGAAUUCAGCAUUUGAAAAACCCCAUCCUGAAAACACUGAAGCCAGUGCUUUUGAGGGCUGUAGUUCUUUUACAACUGUUUGAUUUGCCAUUUAGGCAUUCCUAUCUCUUCUUGAGUCCAUUUCGAUCAUUUGCAUGUUCCUAGAAAACGGCUUUUCAUUCAGGUUUUCAGAGUCAUUGAUAUGUUUAAGUAAUUCUGUUUUCUUCUUUUUCGUACUCUGGUUAUUUGUACUUUCUCAUACUCUGUUUCUUUGCCCCCUGCCUCCUUCCCUCCCCCUUUCUCUCUCCUUGCUUUCUUUUUCUUUUACUUGUUUUUGUUUUCCUUGACUGGGCGAAUUAAUAUUUUGUUGCACUCCAUUUUGUUUCAUUCUAUUCCAUUCUCCUCCGCCACCAAAGACAUACCUUUCAUGUCAUGGUCAAUUGUAUGAGGCUUUUCUGUUGUCACUGUGAUUCUAUUUUUAAUAUUCUUUUUAGUGACCUUAAUCAAAAGAAUUAUUAUGUAAAAUACCUAGUUCAUUUGUUUUUAUUGGUUCAUAUUUUUACUGAAAAUAUUAAUGGCUAUAUAUUUUUCUAUGAACACAGCUUUAAUAGUAUUCCAAAGAUUAUGAAAAGGAAUAUUGAUUUUAAGGAAAUUCCAUGAGGGACUUUCAGUUUUUCUCUCACUGAAGUAUUGUUUAGGGAAGAGCUUUUAAAAGUUCAGAAUUGUUCUGUGUUAUUAUUGCAAUUAGUAAAUUUUGUUUUGCAUUUUUAGUUUUCCUUUAUUGAUGUUAAAGAAGGUGGUUUUUGUUAUUUUUCUUUUUCUUUUGAGUUUGAGGUUUUCUUUGUGAACAAUAGAAAAGGAUACACAUUUUCUGUACACAAGGCAUGGGGACAUAUAUAAAAUGUCAUACAUGUUUAUAUGAAUAUAUGUGUGUGUUAUAUAUAUGAUCAAUCUAUUAAUGGAAUUAUUUGGAUUCUCUGUUUCACUCUUCCUUAAUUUCUUGACAUACAGGAUUGAGUGAGAGAGCUACACUGAAGUCUUCCAAUGAUUUUGUGCUUUGUCAAAUUUAUCCUUUUAUUUGUUCCAGUUUUUGCUACAUUUAUUAAUGCUAUGAUGCUAUAUAGUAAAUAAAGGUUCUUGACAGCUAUAUC